Molecule: ribosomal RNA, 292 nt
Filed under: uncultured bacterium
Lineage: Bacteria
Description: partial 16S ribosomal RNA
Rfam family: Bacterial small subunit ribosomal RNA
Source: RNAcentral
GUGCCAGCAGCCGCGGUAAUACGUAGGGUGCGAGCGUUAAUCGGAAUUACUGGGCGUAAAGGGUGCGCAGGCGGUUCUGUAAGUCAGAUGUGAAAUCCCCGGGCUUAACCUGGGAACUGCGUUUGAAACUACAGGACUAGAGUGUGGCAGAGGGAGGUGGAAUUCCAUGUGUAGCAGUGAAAUGCGUAGAGAUAUGGAAGAACAUCGAUGGCGAAGGCAACCUCCUGGGUUAACACUGACGCUCAUGCACGAAAGCGUGGGGAGCAAACAGGAUUAGAAACCCUGGUAGUCC